RNAcentral lists this ribosomal RNA (254 nucleotides) under uncultured bacterium. RNAcentral describes it as "partial 16S ribosomal RNA". It matches the Rfam family "Bacterial small subunit ribosomal RNA", at positions 524 to 776 of the family's 1533-position model. The record is from RNAcentral.
UACGGAGGGGGCUAGCGUUGUUCGGAAUUACUGGGCGUAAAGCGCACGUAGGCGGCUUUGUAAGUUAGAGGUGAAAGCCCGGAGCUCAACUCCGGAAUUGCCUUUAAGACUGCAUCGCUCGAAUCAUGGAGAGGUGAGUGGAAUUCCGAGUGUAGAGGUGAAAAUUCGUAGAUAUUCGGAAGAACACCAGUGGCGAAGGCGACUCACUGGACAUGUAUUGACGCUGAGGUGCGAAAGCGUGGGGAGCAAACAGG